Molecule: non-coding RNA, 25 nt
Filed under: Mus musculus (house mouse)
Lineage: Eukaryota; Metazoa; Chordata; Mammalia; Rodentia; Muridae
Source: RNAcentral
UUAAAUAGCCACUGCUGGGAAUCCC